Molecule: ribosomal RNA, 504 nt
Filed under: uncultured bacterium
Lineage: Bacteria
Description: bacterial SSU rRNA
Rfam family: Bacterial small subunit ribosomal RNA
Source: RNAcentral
GAGUUUGAUCCUGGCUCAGGACGAACGCUGGCGGCGCGCCUAACACAUGCAAGUCGAACGAGCGAGAGAGAGCUUGCUUUCUCGAGCGAGUGGCGAACGGGUGAGUAACGCGUGAGGAACCUGCCUCAAAGAGGGGGACAACAGUUGGAAACGACUGCUAAUACCGCAUAAGCCCACAGGUCGGCAUCGACCAGAGGGAAAAGGAGCAAUCCGCUUUGAGAUGGCCUCGCGUCCGAUUAGCUAGUUGGUGAGGUAACGGCCCACCAAGGCGACGAUCCAUAGCCGGCCUGAGAGGGUGAACGGCCACAUUGGGACUGAGACACGGCCCAGACUCCUACGGGAGGCAGCAGUGGGGGAUAUUGCACAAUGGGGGAAACCCUGAUGCAGCGACGCCGCGUGGAGGAAGAAGGUUUUCGGAUUGUAAACUCCUGUCGUUAGGGACGAUAAUGACGGUACCUAACAAGAAAGCACCGGCUAACUACGUGCCAGCCGCCGCGGUAAUAC